CCACAGUUCAGUGCCUCCUCACCCUGCCCCCCAGUGGAGGCCAGGGAGCAGGGGCACCUGCUUCUCCGCCAGUCCUGGGUGAGGAAACCCCGGGGGCCUCCUCUGACCUUGCGCUUCGCUCCUAAAGGUCACUGCACGGUGCUCUAGGGGGUCAGGUUCCUGCAGUUGGGGACCGGGGGAAGGCAGUAAUCAAUCUGGGCCCCGCCAGGCCAGGGGCGCCGAUCCAGAGCAGCCCUCCUGUGCCCGCUGCCCGGCAGGGUUAUUUAUAACCGCGGGUCGCCUUACCUCCUGACCUUUAGCAUCUCCUCGCCGCCCACUGCGAACAAACAGUCCUCUGUGUGCACCCUGGGCAGGCCUCACUGCAGCCCUGCAGGAAGCAGGAUGCUGACCCGGAGUCGGCGCCCCCUCGCUCCCUAGGGUGGACCCAGCCACGUAUGAGGAAACCGAGGCGCAGAGAGGCAAAGGGAUGUGUCGAAAGCCACACAGCUGGAGCAAGUGGUGGAACUGGCCUGGGAACAUGGGUUGGUGUGUUUUCCCUCCACCCCACAGCGACAUGGUGGGGGUGGGGGUGGGGGUGGGGAGUUGGCAGAGGCAGCCCUUUAAAAACUGCAGUAGGGCCACCACAAGUAAACAGAAGCCUUGACAGCUGUCGGGCCCUCUCUCCAAGCACAAGGCGGAGGCUGGCCCUGUUUCCAGCAGAAGGCCUUGGUCCGGCCGGCUGCCUUGACUCAGAGGACUCAGGCUCGCGUUGCUCCUUUGUGGGCUGGAGGGGCCCCGAGAUCACAGACCCCGGAGUGGGUGUGAGCACCGUCUCUGCACCCAGAAGCUGAGAUCAGCUUUUGGGCUGCUCUUUCUUCAGUCAUUUACUGGUUUCCCAUGAUUAUAAUAACUACCCCUGCUGAGCUUUAUAGUUCACAAAGUACUUUCACAAACACUCUUUCAUUUACUCCUCACAUCAGCCCUGUGAUGAGGAGUUAAUAUGACCAUUUUAUGGAAACAGAAACUGGAGUUCAGGGAGGGAGGUUCCGGGAAUGGCCUCAGAUCAGAAGGCCAGCAGUGGCCCUCACGCCAGCAUUCCCGAGCCCCGGGCCAGACCCGGCUCCUUCCUUCCACGGGGCAGCCUUCUCAGAGGAGUGCGGUGGCUUCUGGAGGGGCCGGCCUAUCUCAGUCUGCCAGCAGUGACCAGACAAUCUGCUCUCAUCAUCUGGGAGCUGGGUGAAGACCCCUCCCCACCCUCACCUCCUGCAAAUAUUGUGUGUUGGGGGUGGGGGGGACACAAAGAAGUAGAAGUGACUGCUGAGUGAGGGAGCUGGAGAGAGUACUGGGGAGGGGUCCCCCGCUGCCUUGGCCUUGGGCCCCGCAGAUGCAUGGAAGGGACCAGCAGUUCCUGGAACACGAGCCCAUCGCCGGGGUGCCCAGUGCCAGCUGUUGCCAUCUGCUUGUGGCAAAACGAGAAAAAUAGGACAAUACAGUGAAGUUUUCCUAAAGCUAGACCUACUCGAUCUGAAGUACGGCCCUUUCCCUGGAGCUGUGUAUUUUCAGGGUCUGUGCAUGUGUGUGUUUAAAAAGGACCUUUUCUUUGACAUUUUCUUUAAUGUCCUUAACCGAGCAAAAUAAAAGACUAGUGACCAUGUCAGAUCCUAAAUCGGCUUUUUGGAAAUGUUAGUGACUAAGGAAUCCGAAUGCCUGGGAAUCACGGAGCUGGCCCUGAUUCGGUGAGCCCUGGCACGGAGGACUUGUUUUUGAAUUCAGGGAUGAUCUCUGAACAGCUGGAAAAACCCCGGGGGAGGAGAGGUUGGGGUUCCUGCCUGGACUCAGCCCCUCAGCCCUGGAUCCCCAGGAAACCUGAGCAGAGGGAACAUUAGAGUCACUGCACAGGGAAUUCUGAGAAAGGCCUCGGGCUGAUUCUCCGUGCUGCACCCCCUCAGCCUCUUCUCUGACCCCCAGCCAGAGGGAAUGUACCCUCCAACCUCAGCCCUGCCUCCCCCAGCCCCCCAAGGCUGGAUCCAAAAUAGCCCAGGCCCCGGAGGAGACGUCAUGGGUCAGACUGGCUGCCUGCCCUCAGAGAGGGCAUGUCGGUAAUGCCCAAGGCCAAAUAUAGAGGGACACCAGACACCGCUGGGCCACCCAGGGCCUGGGGAGCCCGGCUGGCAUCUCAGGGCCUCCCCCACCCUCAUCCCUUCCCAGCCCUGCACCCCCAACCCGGGCUCCGGAGGCCAGCGCCUCCUGGCCAGGCCCACCCAGCCAGGACAUGUCCCAGCAAGCCCAGAGCCGAGCUGGAGGCUGGCCCGACGGGGUGCUGGGCCUGGGCUGGGCCUGGGCGUGGGGACACCCCUCCAUCUGGGGGUCUCAAAGCACUUUUAUAAGCGUCACUUCCCACAGGCUGCUGCCGAGAUCAGGAGGCCAAGAGGACCUGGUGUCUCCGGGGGGCCGGCUCCUGCCUCUGUUCCUCCCAGCUCGGGAAGGAGACCAGGCCGUAAACCUGCGGCGUGGGAGGCUUGGGAGGCGGGGGGCGGGCAGGCGGCCAGGUCUAACCCGAGUGAACUCCCGGUGGAAUCGAACUGCAAAUAAUGAGUCCUGAUUGCCGAGGUGGCCUCCACCCGCCACUCCCGGGAAUUAAAAGUCAAAGGGCAGAGCUGCUGACGCAAAUGUCAAGGGAGACACGCGGUGUGGAACAGCUGGGAUCCUGCUCCCCGGCCUGCCGCCCAAGGUCGCCGCCCCCAGCGCCCUGGAUCCGGCGUCCCCCAGGCUGGGCCCCGAGAGGCCCCAGUUCCCCAGGCGCAGCAGGGAAGGGGGCUCGGCUUCCUCUCCCUCCUCCUGGUUCUAAGGUCAACAGAACUCGAUUGGAGGAGGUUCAUCAGAAAUCCCCGUGCAACGGCGUUGCCGGACGCCUGCGGACGCGGAGAGGCAGCAGCUCGAGUCCUCUGGGCCUUCCCCGCCUCCCCCGCCAACAAGGGGGAGGAAACUUCUGCCGACGGGGGCGCGUGGCUCGCUAACACCUGCUGUGUCCCCUAGGUCGUCCCAGGGCCGGCACACCGUGGGCAGCUGCACCGUGGUCUGUGCACCAGUGGUGACCCCCAGCGGUCAGUGUGGGACUUGACCUUGGACCCAGCACUGAAGCCUCCGCCAGGCCAGGGGCUGGGAAACCCCGGGGGCGCCAGGUUUGGAGAUUUGAUCUUGGAAGGGAGGUGUUGGCGUUCGGAGGUGUUGGCGUUCGGAGGUGUUUUUCUCUGUGCUGAAUUUUCCUAAUCGCCCUGUGGCUGGAUCUCAGCCUGUGUCCCACUGUGAGCCAGUCAGCCUCAACAUGUCUAAGAGGCGCAUCAUCACUGAGCCCCUACCGGCUCUUACUCCUGACUUCCCUAUUUCUAUUAAUAGCACCACUACCCUCCCAGUCCCUCAGGCUCCAAACCUCCGUGUCAUUGUCCACAUCUCCCCACACUGGGCUGGCUGACCGGUCCUGCCCCUCCUCACCGUGCAGGUCAUUCUUCCACCCCUCCCGCGAUACUCAUGGCCACUGCCCCAGUCAAUGGACCUCUCUCUCACCUGAGCUACUGUCAUCCUCGACAAUGCCACUGGGUCAGACCUGGCUAUGUGACCGGUCCCUUCCACUUACUGGCUGUGUGACCUUGGGCAAGCUACUUAACUUCUCUGAGCUCAACUUCCUCAGCUGUAAAAUGAGGAUAAUAAUUACAGUCCCUACCUCAUAGAGCACUGCAUGAAUUGUGACGUAUGUGAAGACCCUGACACAUAGGAAAUGCUCAGUGACUGUGAAUUAUUAGAGAUCAUCCAUCCAAUCCAACUCUUCCAUUUUACAAACAAGGAAACUGAGGCUCAGAGAGCUGGAAGGAGAGCUAACGUCUGGCAUGGUGUCUUUACAACUUGCUACAGGGGUCCAGCCGGGUGGCACAGUGGUUAAGUUCACACGUUCUGCUUCGGUGGCCUGGGGUUUGCCGGUUCGGAUCCUGGGUGUGGGCCUACACACCAUACUGUGGUAGGCAUCCCACAUAUAAAGUAGAGGAAGAUGGGCAUGGAUGUUAGCUCAGGGCCAGUCUUCCUCAGCAAAAUGAGGCGGAUUGGUGGCAGAUGUUAGCCAGGGCUAAUCUUCCUCAAAAAUAGAAUAAAAUAAAAAUAAAACUUGCUACAGAGCAGGGGGAGUGGAAGUUCCCGGAGUCUUGAAGCUCCUCCACCACUGCCCACAUCAUCGCGAUCUGGAACCCAGAUCCAAAGGCCCCCUGCUGAGUUCACGGGGCACACCCUCCUGCCUUCAGGGGCAGGCAUGCUUGGGUGAGUGCUGAGGUCGCAAAUACCUUCUGGGAUGAGACAACUACAGGUGACGUCCAGCGGCUGUGAGUCAGGGAGACCCAUCUGCAAGGUGACGAGUGAGGCUGGGCACUCGGGCCGCAGGGGUGCUGGGCAUGCAGGGGUCGUGCCAGACGUCAGACAUCCAAAUAGGGUGGGCACCUCCUCCCGCAACAACCCCGCCCUCACACUCCUCCCCCAGCUCCCACUCACCCCCUCCAGUGCCCAGGCCUUCGCGUGGGGGUCCGUGGGGGCAGGGCAGGCUGCCUCCCGUCCAGAUAGUCCAGGCGGACGUUCUGAACAGUCCCUCGUGAAUGAGCACCUGGGGGCCAUACGCUCUUUGAAACUGAAGGUGGGAGCCCUGUUCUGGGGACAGGUUCUCAAAGCGGACUUCUCUCCACAAAGAGAAGAUGAUCAAGAGCAGCAAGAGCAGAUGAUCCAGGUUCAAACGUGGGCCUGUCCUAGAGUCCUAGGACACCUCCUGUCUAAGCCAGAGGUUCUCAAACAGGUUUUGCUCCUGGGGACACCUGGCAAUGCCUGGAGACAUGUUUGGUUGUUAUACUGGGAGGGAGGGUGUGCAUGACCUACUGGCAUCUAGUGGGGAGAGGCCAAGGGUGUUGCUAAAUAUCCUACAAUGCACACAGCACAGACACACAACGAAGAACAUUCCAGCCCCCGUGUCAGUAGUACAGCGGCCUCGAGGAGGAAGGGAGGCCGUGCCUGUGAAGAACCCGGGACUGGGCCUGGCUCAUGCUCCGUGUUGGCAAGGGACCUUUCUUUUCUAAGGCCUUCUCUCAGCCUGGACACCCAAGCCGGUGGGCAGAGGUGGAGUGGGCAUAUACUCACAUGAGAAUUCUGAGAAAUGAUCUUGGUGUUUCUGCCACACCCAGCCUGGGGCAGAGUUUCUAGAAGAGUCUGGUGCUCACUCAUGAACCCUUUCAACAAGGACAAAGCAGGCCCUGGAAGGAGCGGCCCGCCCUCGGGCUGCUCACCCUGCCACCUCCAGCAGGCCUCCCCGUGACCCAUCCCCCACCCCUCUCACUUGCAUUUGUGAGGGAGAGAGGGGAGAGGAUGGGGCAGAAGCCCUCCUCUGAGCUCUCCUCAGACCCGCCGAGGCCGGGCAGGCAGGAGGACGUGCUAGCGGCAGCCCUGCACAGAGGCAGGGGACGGCUCCAGGGCACCUUCGAAGGUGUGUGAAGCUGAGUCAAGGAGCUGGCAAGCCCUCCUGCCACUCACCUCAGCGGGCAGCUGGUUCUCCUUCAGCCUCAGCAGCCGUGGGGUCAAGUGUCUGCUCUACAGAAGCUGGUCCCAGAUAAGCCACCGCCUUCUUCCCUGGGAUGGGGUGGUGUAGCCCCAUCAGAACCCCCACACCCUGGCCCCUGAGCUCCGCUUUGCUGGUUUACCCAACUCAAGUAAAAUGGAUUAUCGGAUUACGGUCGGAGUGGGUGGAAGGGUCAGGUCGAUCAACAGAGAUGGGACUCUUAGACCCCUUUCUGACACUGCUCAUUUGUGGGGUCUGGGGGAUUGGGGCAUUGCAAUCACACCCUCUCCCCUCGGGUCUCAAUUUCAGGCACGUGUUUAAUGGGGCACACCACCUUCCAAACCUUCGGUGUGAGGCUGUGUGGGGGUGGGGCUUCUGUCUGCGUCUGGAAGCCCAGCUGACUUCACGACAAGCCCAGACACGCAGCUGUUUCUGAAACAGAAGCCGCAGCGGUGGGGGAAGCGCCAAGCGCCGAGGCUGGGGGCAGAGAGGAGACCCCCGGACACCAGACUGAUGUGUACAGUUAACAGGGCCUAACCAAAGGGUCUGCACUGCGUCUCCAGUGAUGCCAAAGGGGGCCUAGGGAGAAGCUCUCUGAAGGCUCAGCUGCCGUCCUAAAGUAGACUUUUGGAGACCUCUUCCCAGGUUUGAGAAGGAAAAGAUGGAUACCUGUCCAAGGGAGUGGAAGACCCAGAGAACUUAACAGUGUCUCUCUUCCUAAUUAAGACAUAUUCCUCCCAUUCAUGGAAGUGAUGCCUUGAUGCCUCAGGGACAAACUGGUGCAUCAAACAAAGUAGCUGGUUUGUACCAAGUGGUACAGGCUGCGUGAAUUCCCUCCAUAAGGAUCUGGCUGGGCAUGAAGGCUGUUAGUCCAUACAACCCAAACUGUACACGGCACCGAUGAUCCCCCCCUCAAAGAAUGUCACCUUAGAAGUAGCCUUCGAGCUCAUCUGAGCCAAGCCCUGGCUUUUACUGAUAAGGAAACUGAGUCCAGAGAGAGAUGACGACUUUGGAUAAAUCAGCGGCAGGGAGGGGCUACACCUAUGAUUCCUUAUCGUGACUUGGUUUUUGAGAUGCUGAUAUCUGGUUCACAUCAUAUCACACCAGAGGAGUCUUUGGAAGAAAGGGCUGUCAUCUUGGGGCCCCAGAAACAUGGCCUUAACACGGGGGAGGAUGGUCUGAUAAACCCGCAGUUGGGCAAAGCCCAGGACUGGGUCUCUAAAUCAGCCAAGGCUGCCGAGAGACAUCUGCCCACAGGCAUCUGCCCACUGUCGGCUCCUCUCCACCCAGGCUCCUCCAGGAAGGACAAAUGCUUGAGAUGCCUCUAAGAAUCAGUACUGGAGUCUUUUUUGGUGAAGAACAUGCUAAACUUUUGCUCCUAGUUCCUUCCUUACAGCCCCAGGUAAAUUCUCCAAGAUAGAAAUGUAGACUGGCUACAAAAUAAAAGCCCGUUUCCACAGAAGCCUAACAGGCUGAAAUGCAGCAAAAGGUGAGCCGCUGAAAAUUCACCCCAGGACUUGUCACUUGUCUGGGCUAGCCAAAGGUCAGGCAAAGUCAGCUGGACGAGAAAAGACAACAGGAAAAGACAUCGAGGCCUCCGAGGGGGGAGGAUACAAAUAUUUGUUUACUGGUGAGUAGCACUGUACAUGAUCUCAUUUAAUCUUCCCAACAAUCCUGUGCGGAAGAUAGCAUUCUACAAUACUCCUGAUGAAGAAAUUCAUUUUUGAAAGACCGCUCCACUCUCUUUGGGCGUGAGAUGUCCUCAAAAAUCUUAACAGAUGGAGGUUUGCUUUCUCGCUCGGGCAGAGCAAUGCUAAGCUUUUUAAUCAUGCAGAAAGCAUAUGACCCUCCCUGCCACCAUUCUACACUCUGCCGUGCAUCUCAUGUUAAUAUUUGAUUUAGUUCUGUACGUCUGCUCUCUACCCGCUUAUAUGCAGUGACUGGAAGUUUAAUUCUUGUCAUAAAGCAUUAUGAGCAACAGAUACUGAAUAAAUAUGUUUUGAUGGCAUCUAAAAU
This is a long non-coding RNA of Equus caballus (horse), 7576 nucleotides long. The record is from Ensembl. Lineage: Eukaryota; Metazoa; Chordata; Mammalia; Perissodactyla; Equidae.